UUCCGGGUUGAUCCCGCGGGACCUUGACUGCUAUCGGAUUGAUACUAAGCCAUGCGAGUCAUUGUAGUAAUACAAGGCAGACGGCUCAGUAACGCGUAGUCAACCUACCCUAUGGACGGGGAUAACCUCGGGAAACUGAGAAUAAUACCCGAUAGAACAUUAUACCUGGAAUGGUUUAUGUUUCAAAUAAUUUAUUGCCGUAGGAUGGGACUGCGGCCUAUCAGUUUGUUGGUGAGGUAAUGGCCCACCAAGACUAUUACAGGUACGGGCUCUGAGAGGAGUAGCCCGGAGAUGGGUACUGAGACACGGACCCAGGCCCUAUGGGGCGCAGCAGGCGAGAAAACUUUGCAAUGUGCGAAAGCACGACAAGGUUAAUCCGAGUGGUUUCUGCUAAAGGAACCUUUUGUCAGUCCUAGAAACACUGGUGAAUAAGGGGUGGGCAAGUUCUGGUGUCAGCCGCCGCGGUAAAACCAGCACCUCAAGUGGUCAGGAUGAUUAUUGGGCCUAAAGCAUCCGUAGCCUGCUUUGUUAGUUUUCGGUUAAAUCCAUACGCUUAACGUAUGGGCUGCCGGGAAUACUGCAAAGCUAGGGAGUGGGAGAGGUAGACGGUACUCGGUAGGAAGGGGUAAAAUCCUUUGAUCUAUUGAUGACCACCUGUGGCGAAGGCGGUCUACCAGAACACGUCCGACGGUGAGGGAUGAAAGCUGGGGGAGCAAACCGGAUUAGAUACCCGGGUAGUCCCAGCUGUAAACUAUGCAAACUCGGUGAUGCAUUGGCUUGAUGCCAAUGCAGUGCCGCAGGGAAGCCGUUAAGUUUGCCGCCUGGGAAGUACGUACGCAAGUAUGAAACUUAAAGGAAUUGGCGGGGGAACACCACAAGGGGUGAAGCCUGCGGUUCAAUUGGAUUCAACGCCGGG
RNAcentral lists this ribosomal RNA (916 nucleotides) under uncultured archaeon. Its description in RNAcentral is "bacterial SSU rRNA". It matches the Rfam family "Archaeal small subunit ribosomal RNA", at positions 1 to 922 of the family's 1478-position model. The record is from RNAcentral.